RNAcentral lists this long non-coding RNA (315 nucleotides) under Gossypium barbadense (sea-island cotton). RNAcentral describes it as "long non-coding RNA (GBAR_LNC005573)". The record is from RNAcentral. Lineage: Eukaryota; Viridiplantae; Streptophyta; Magnoliopsida; Malvales; Malvaceae.
GGGACAAAAUGGCUUGGAAAAUAGCCUUGUAUUUGUCCAGACGGGUAGACACACGGGCGUGUGUCUAGGCCGUGUCUGACACACGGUCUGCCCCCAUGGGCGUGUUGUCCAGGCGUGUGUCCCCUGUACCUAUGUUUUUCAAGUCAGUAUGCAUGGUAGUAAGCACACGGGCAAGAGACACGGCCAUGUGUCUUAGCCGUGUGAAGGACACGACUAUAGGACACGGGCGUAUGCCUUGGCCGUGUGGCUUCAAUUUGUCCAUAACCAAAUUGGCAGAAUGUCCAGGUUUUUGGACAUAGGUUUGGGACACAGGCG